UGGUCGGGGGCCUGGCGGGAGCCGGGGCCCUGCUUCUGCUGCUGCUGCUGGUGGCGCUGAGCGUGUUCGUCGUGCGCUCCCGGAGGAGGGAUAGGCAAGGCCGAGGCAGGUGAGUGAGCUGCGGAUGGAUGGGUAAGGAGAAAGGCGUCCUGGACCAGGUUACCCUACCCUGACGACGUGGCGCCCUUCUGGCAGGUCCAGGGACGACAGGAAGUGGUUCGAGACCUGGGAUGAGAACACUGCGGGGACUUUUUCUAACUCAGGCUUCGAAGAUGACAUUAACGAAGAAAACUUCCCUGUGGCCUUGGACACCGUGGACACCGAUGCCAGGGUGCAUAUUCACAGACCUGAGGUGGUCUCGUCCUCACUGUGAGCCCACACUACCCUCUCUACCUGCCCGGACAGCGGAGAGAACCAUCUGCACUGCCUUUGGAGAGAUGGCCGCGGGCUCGUGCGGCUCAGUCUCCUGGUUUCCUGGGGCAUAACAGACCUCCGCCUACCCUCAUCCUUCCCCCAACUUGGGUGAAACCCACCUGGAGACCCAGUUCAAAUCCACGCUCUUCCACUGUGGGACCUUGGGCAAGUCAGUAACUUCUCCGAACUUCGGUUUUGUCACCUGCAAAAUGCAAGUGGCCACUCCUCUGGUACUUCCUGUUGGUUAUAGUGAAACCAGAUGUCU
Molecule: long non-coding RNA, 679 nt
Filed under: Bos grunniens (domestic yak)
Lineage: Eukaryota; Metazoa; Chordata; Mammalia; Artiodactyla; Bovidae
Description: lncRNA (ENSBGRG00000025423.1)
Source: RNAcentral